Molecule: ribosomal RNA, 358 nt
Filed under: uncultured eukaryote
Lineage: Eukaryota
Description: bacterial SSU rRNA
Rfam family: Eukaryotic small subunit ribosomal RNA
Source: RNAcentral
GGAAGGCGCUGCGUUAGCAGCUCGUAGUUGGAUAUCUGAUUGGUCUGAUGAGGCCUGCUUUCGAGUGUGUGUUUCAUCACCCAAUCAUCCUUCCAGUUUCCAAAUUUAUCUCGUUUCAGUCUAACUGUUACUUGGUAAAUUAUUAACUGGAUCUUUUACUUUGAAAAAAUAAGAGUGUUCAAAGCAAGCUAUUGCUGUGAAUUCAUUAGCAUGGAAUAAUAAAAUAGGACUUUGGUCUAUUUUGUUGGUUUCUAGGUCCAAAGUAAUGAUUGAUAGGGACAGUUGGGGGUGCUUGUAUUGAACGGCCAGAGGUGAAAUUCUUGGAUUCGUUCAAGACAAACUACUGCGAAAGCAUUCA